AUGUUGAUUGUUUUUCCAUUACAUAGCAUUGUUUUACGGCCAUCGGGCUACCAUCUGUUCCUUGAGGCUGGUGAUUGUACCGUAUUCGUGAUGAAACGUAUGUCCCUUUUAUGUUCCGUUCUUCAGAUAUUAAUGUUGUCAUCUCAAUCAGAACUGAGCAUCGGUUAUGGGCUUUUGGAUUGUGAUCAUCCUGCUGUGCUGACAUACUUACCAAGAAGAAACAAAGCUUUUGCCUCCAUUUUUUCGGACUUGUGCCUGUUUUGCCCUACAAAGAUAAGAACGGAUGGUCUUUUCAAGAUUAUUUUUAUUUAA
This 312-nucleotide ribosomal RNA is filed under the name Triticum aestivum (bread wheat). RNAcentral describes it as "partial small subunit ribosomal RNA". The record is from RNAcentral. Lineage: Eukaryota; Viridiplantae; Streptophyta; Magnoliopsida; Poales; Poaceae.